RNAcentral lists this ribosomal RNA (465 nucleotides) under Vreelandella stevensii. RNAcentral's name for it is "partial 16S ribosomal RNA". It matches the Rfam family "Bacterial small subunit ribosomal RNA", at positions 338 to 795 of the family's 1533-position model. Lineage: Bacteria; Pseudomonadati; Pseudomonadota; Gammaproteobacteria; Oceanospirillales; Halomonadaceae. The record is from RNAcentral.
CCUACGGGGGGCAGCAGUGGGGAAUAUUGGACAAUGGGGGGAACCCUGAUCCAGCCAUGCCGCGUGUGUGAAGAAGGCCCUCGGGUUGUAAAGCACUUUCAGUGAGGAAGAACGCCUGGUGGUUAAUACCCAUCAGGAAAGACAUCACUCACAGAAGAAGCACCGGCUAACUCCGUGCCAGCAGCCGCGGUAAUACGGAGGGUGCGAGCGUUAAUCGGAAUUACUGGGCGUAAAGCGAGCGUAGGUGGCUUGAUAAGCCGGUUGUGAAAGCCCCGGGCUCAACCUGGGAACGGCAUCCGGAACUGUCAAGCUAGAGUGCAGGAGAGGAAGGUAGAAUUCCCGGUGUAGCGGUGAAAUGCGUAGAGAUCGGGAGGAAUACCAGUGGCGAAGGCGGCCUUCUGGACUGACACUGACACUGAGGUGCGAAAGCGUGGGUAGCAAACAGGAUUAGAUACCCGAGUAGUC